This 292-nucleotide ribosomal RNA is filed under the name Lactiplantibacillus plantarum. RNAcentral describes it as "Lactobacillus plantarum partial 16S ribosomal RNA". It matches the Rfam family "Bacterial small subunit ribosomal RNA", at positions 392 to 676 of the family's 1533-position model. Lineage: Bacteria; Bacillati; Bacillota; Bacilli; Lactobacillales; Lactobacillaceae. The record is from RNAcentral.
GCACGCCGCGUGAGUGAAGAAGGGUUUCGGCUCGUAAAACUCUGUUGUUAAAAAGAACAUAUCUUGAGUGUAACUGUUCAGGUAUUGACGGUAUUUAACCAGAAAGCCACGGCUAACUACGUGCCAGCAGCCGCGGUAAUACGUAGGUGGCAAGCGUUGUCCGGAUUUAUUGGGCGUAAAGCGAGCGCAGGCGGUUUUUUAAGUCUGAUGUGAAAGCCUUCGGCUCAACCGAAGAAGUGCAUCGGAAACUGGGAAACUUGAGUGCAGAAGAGGACAGUGGAACUCCAUGUGA